This 440-nucleotide ribosomal RNA is filed under the name uncultured bacterium. RNAcentral describes it as "partial 16S ribosomal RNA". It matches the Rfam family "Bacterial small subunit ribosomal RNA", at positions 338 to 795 of the family's 1533-position model. The record is from RNAcentral.
CCUACGGGAGACAGCAGUGGGGAAUAUUGCACAAUGGGGGAAACCCUGAUGCAGCGACGCCGCGUGAGUGAAGAAGUAUUUCGGUAUGUAAAGCUCUAUCAGCAGGGAAGAAAAUGACGGUACCUGAAUAAGAAGCCCCGGCUAACUACGUGCCAGCAGCCGCGGUAAUACGUAGGGGGCAAGCGUUAUCCGGAUUUACUGGGUGUAAAGGGAGCGUAGACGGCAGCACAAGUCUGGAGGGAAAUGCCGGGGCUUAACCCCGGAACUGCUUUGGAAACUGGGCAGCUAGAGUGCAGGAGAGGUAAGUGGAAUUCCUAGUGUAGCGGUGAAAUGCGUAGAUAUUAGGAGGAACACCAGUGGCGAAGGCGGCUUACUGGACUGUAACUGACGUUGAGGCUCGAAAGCGUGGGGAGCAAACAGGAUUAGAUACCCGGGUAGUC